GUGCGGGUGGUGACCGGCCAGGUGUGCUGGGAGUCGGUCAGCACCUGGGCCCCGAGGAAGUCGCCGUCGCUCAGGACGUCCAGGACGCUCGUGCCGCCGUACGCGCCGGUGGUGCUCGUGCUCACCUUGCCGUGAGCGAGCAGGAUCACCUCCUCGGCCGGCUCGUGGGCGGUGGUGAGGGUCUCCCCGGCCGCGAGGUGCCGCUGGGUGAAACGUUCGGACAGGGCGGUCAGCGCGUGCUCGUCCGCCAGGUCGCGCAGCGCGGGCAACUCCCGCAGCUCCGGUGGCAGCACGCGCACCUCGCCAGCGGUGGUGGAGAAGGUCAGCCGACCGUCGCCGAGGGUGUAGGUCAGCCUGCGGUUGACCCGGUAGGAGCCGCUCUCGGUGUCCACCCAGGGCAGCAUGCGCAGCAGCCAGCGAGGGCUGAUCGACUGCGUCUGCGGCGGCGUCUUGGUGGUGGUGGCCAGGGUACGGGCCGCUGCCGGGCCGAGGCUGAGCCUUUGCUGUCGU
This 510-nucleotide antisense RNA is filed under the name Streptomyces oceani. Its description in RNAcentral is "Streptomyces sp. SCSIO 02100 Saccharopolyspora sRNA 350". It matches the Rfam family "Saccharopolyspora sRNA 350". Lineage: Bacteria; Bacillati; Actinomycetota; Actinomycetes; Kitasatosporales; Streptomycetaceae. The record is from Rfam by way of RNAcentral.